GAUGAACGCUGACAGAAUGCUUAACACAUGCAAGUCGAUGGGGAAGUGGUGCUUGCACCAUGGCAACCAUGGCGGACGGGUGAGUAACGCGUAAGGGACUUACCUGCAGGACUGGGAUAACAGGGGGAAACUCCUGACAAGACCGGAUAAUGUCAUGGAGCUGCAUGGCUUUAUGAUGAAAGGAGACGCCUGCGGAGAGCCUUGCGUCCUAUUAGCUAGUUGGUGAGGUAAUGGCUCACCAAGGCGAAGAUAGGUAGCUGGUCUGAGAGGGUGGACGGCCACAAGGGGACUGAGAUACGGCCCUUACUCCUACGGGAGGCAGCAGUGGGGAAUAUUGGACAAUGGGGGCAACCCUGAUCCAGCAAUUCUGUGUGCACGAAGAAGGUUUUCGGAUUGUAAAGUGCUUUCAGCAGGGAAGAAGUAAGUGACGGUACCUGCAGAAGAAGCUACGGCUAAAUACGUG
This 463-nucleotide ribosomal RNA is filed under the name uncultured bacterium. RNAcentral's name for it is "partial 16S ribosomal RNA". It matches the Rfam family "Bacterial small subunit ribosomal RNA", at positions 28 to 507 of the family's 1533-position model. The record is from RNAcentral.